RNAcentral lists this long non-coding RNA (522 nucleotides) under Equus caballus (horse). RNAcentral's name for it is "lncRNA (ENSECAG00000053370.1)". Lineage: Eukaryota; Metazoa; Chordata; Mammalia; Perissodactyla; Equidae. The record is from RNAcentral.
GGGCAUUUGGGUUGUUUCCAGAUUUUGACUAUUAUGGAUAAAGCUGCUAUGGACAUUUGUGGGCAUAUUUCUGGUCAUAUGAUGAGAAAACUGAGGUCUGCAGACUUAAGGAAUAUGCCUGGAUCACAUAGUUAGUGGCAGAGCUUGGACCAGUCUGAUGUCCUUUUCACUUCAUUCGUCUGUUCCUUCAUUCACCCAACCAUCCAUCCACUUAUCCCACUAUAAGAACUGAACUGACACACCUCCAGGUGGUGUACCUGGGGUAUUUGUCCCCUCCAGUCCCUGUCCCCCAGCCUGGUGCUCUGGGACCUCAUCUGUGGCUGGACCUCUCCUCCGGGUACAAGCUGCCCACAAGCUGCUCCUGCCUUGGAGAGCUGCCGGAAGCCAGGGAAAACCUUGGGAGGACAGAGGCUGCCGAGGAGUUCUCCUCACUUGCUGAGAAUAUUAUAAAAUGCAUAUUUAAAGAUAUUCCGUGUAAAUCACUCACAAGAGGGCUUGGCAUAAAAUAAAUACUCAAAAAAA